AGUGAACGCUGGCGGUAGGCCUAACACAUGCAAGUCGAACGGCAGCACAGUAAGAGCUUGCUCUUACGGGUGGCGAGUGGCGGACGGGUGAGGAAUACAUCGGAAUCUACUUUUUCGUGGGGGAUAACGUAGGGAAACUUACGCUAAUACCGCAUACGACCUACGGGUGAAAGCAGGGGAUCUUCGGACCUUGCGCGAUUGAAUGAGCCGAUGUCGGAUUAGCUAGUUGGCGGGGUAAAGGCCCACCAAGGCGACGAUCCUUAGCUGGUCUGAGAGGAUGAUCAGCAAAACUGGAACUGAGACACGGUCCAGACUCCUACGGGAGGCAGCAGUGGGGAAUAUUGGACAAUGGGCGCAAGCCUGAUCCAGCAAUACCGCGUGGGUGAAGAAGGCCUUCGGGUUGUAAAGCCCUUUUGUUGGGAAAGAAAAGCAGCAGGUUAAUACCCCGCUGUUCUGACGGUACCCAAAGAAUAAGCACCGGCUAACUUCGUG
This 492-nucleotide ribosomal RNA is filed under the name uncultured bacterium. RNAcentral describes it as "partial 16S ribosomal RNA". It matches the Rfam family "Bacterial small subunit ribosomal RNA", at positions 29 to 507 of the family's 1533-position model. The record is from RNAcentral.